RNAcentral lists this unclassified non-coding RNA (314 nucleotides) under uncultured Ascomycota. RNAcentral describes it as "sequence contains ITS1". The stretch from base 1 to 105 matches the Rfam family "5.8S ribosomal RNA", at positions 50 to 154 of the family's 154-position model. The record is from RNAcentral. Lineage: Eukaryota; Fungi; Ascomycota.
GAAAUGCGAUACGUAAUGCGAAUUGCAGAAUCCAGUGAGUCAUCGAAUCUUUGAACGCACAUUGCGCCCGGUGGCAAUCCGCCGGGCAUGCCUGUCCGAGCGUCGUCUCAAACCCUCGAGCCCCUUAGGGCUCGGUGUUGGCGGCCUACGCCCCGUCGUAGCCGUCCAAAUGCAGUGGCGGUCCCGUCCGCGGCCCUUUGCGCAGUAACAAUGCUCGCACCGGGUCCGGGAGGUGGCCUGCCGUAAAACAACCAAGACAAACGCGACCUAGCAAGGUUGACCUCGGAUCAGGUAGGGUUACCCGCUGAACUUAA